CGGUGUUUAACUGGCGUGAUGUGGGACGUCCUACCGGUGGGCUUAGCCUCGCGAGGGGCGGCCCAACUAAUAUCCCGUCGCGGUGCUCUUUACUGAGUGUCGAGUCGGGCCGGUACGUUUACUUUGAACAAAUUAGAGUGCUUAAAGCAGGCUAUCCUCGCCUGAAUACUGCGUGCAUGGAAUAAUGGAAUAGGACCUCGGUUCUAUUUUGUUGGUUUUCGGAACCCCGAGGUAAUGAUUAAUAGGGACAGAUGGGGGCAUUCGUAUUGCGACGUUAGAGGUGAAAUUCUUGGAUCGUCGCAAGACGGACAGAAGCGAAAGCAUUUGCCAAAAAUGUUUUCAUUAAUCAAGAACGAAGGUUAGAGGUUCGAAGGCGAUCAGAUACCGCCCUAGUUCUAACCAUAAACGAUGCCAGCUAGCGAUCCGCCGAAGUUCCUCCGAUGACUCGGCGGGCAGCUUCCGGGAAACCAAAGCUUUUGGGUUCCGGGGGAAGUAUGGUUGCAAAGCUGAAACUUAAAGGAAUUGACGGAAGGGCACCACCAGGAGUGGAGCCUGCGGCUUAAUUUGACUCAACACGGGAAACCUCACCAGGCCCAGACACCGGAAGGAUUGACAGAUUGAUAGCUCUUUCUUGAUUCGGUGGGUGGUGGUGCAUGGCCGUUCUUAGUUGGUGGAGCGAUUUGUCUGGUUAAUUCCGAUAACGAACGAGACUCUAGCCUGCUAAAUAGGCGUACCUUAUGGUAUCGCGAAGGCCCCCGGCUUCGGCCGGUGGGUUUUUACUACCAACGUACAAACAAAUCUUCUUAGAGGGACAGGCGG
RNAcentral lists this ribosomal RNA (819 nucleotides) under uncultured eukaryote. RNAcentral's name for it is "SSU rRNA". It matches the Rfam family "Eukaryotic small subunit ribosomal RNA", at positions 629 to 1426 of the family's 1831-position model. The record is from RNAcentral.